GUCCUACAUUGGCUAAUUAAUGAAAUGAUCACAGGUUUAUAAGUAAGGAGUACAUCUCCAUGGUAUAAGGCCUUUUGGAGGAACCAAAAGCAAAGCCAUGAGAGCUUAUGCUCAAAGUGGAUAAUAUCCUACCAUUGUAGAGAGGUGUGACUGAUAGCAUGUCUCUCCCAAUGUCCCACACCCAAAAUCUUCGCUCUAUUGGUGCAGGCGAUCUCUGUAAUAAAUGUUAAUCAAAACAACGGUUGACGUUGUCAUCAAAUCCAUCACGGCCAUCAUUCUUAGGAAUUGGCUAAAUAGGU
Molecule: long non-coding RNA, 299 nt
Organism: Cucurbita maxima (winter squash)
Lineage: Eukaryota; Viridiplantae; Streptophyta; Magnoliopsida; Cucurbitales; Cucurbitaceae
Exons: 2
Source: RefSeq, a predicted model, not a curated record